AUGCGGGCUGGCACCCAGGAGGAGGAGGCUGCCUUCCAGGUGGCGCUGGCGGCUGUCCUUUGUGAAAGCAAAGACGAAGAGCGGCGCAAGGUGGAGGAGGAAGAGGUGGCGUACCAGGCGCGCCUGUCAGAGGCCAUCACACUCUCUACUUCUGGAGACUGCUUCGUGCCACCGCUGGCGCUGUCGUCCCCCGUCAAGCCCGAGCCGGCGCCCCAGCAGUGGACUUGGCAAGGAGAGGUGCGCGAGUGGGUCAGCGCGCCAUCCAUAUGGUUUGGGGCGACGUCGGCGCAGGAGCAAAUCUACCUCGAGCAGUGGCGAAAGCAUCGGCUGACGGAGGAGCGCCGCGAGGGCGAGCGCCUAGAGCAGUGGGAGCGUGACGCGGGGAAGGAGGAGGAGCGCCGGGCCCGAGCUGUCCAGCCGGCGACGGUCACGCCGGCGCCGCAGGACGUCGCCACAACUUGGGAGUCGGCGUUCCCAUGGGCUGGCCCGACGUCGACGCUCAUCGGCCUCACCAGCCCCGAUCAUGACGACGAGGGUGCCUCGGGCAGCGCGCCUCCUCCUUGUUUUUAG
RNAcentral lists this ribosomal RNA (570 nucleotides) under Triticum aestivum (bread wheat). RNAcentral's name for it is "partial small subunit ribosomal RNA". The record is from RNAcentral. Lineage: Eukaryota; Viridiplantae; Streptophyta; Magnoliopsida; Poales; Poaceae.